This 5052-nucleotide long non-coding RNA is filed under the name Phaseolus vulgaris (common bean). RNAcentral describes it as "long non-coding RNA (PVUL_LNC004289)". The record is from RNAcentral. Lineage: Eukaryota; Viridiplantae; Streptophyta; Magnoliopsida; Fabales; Fabaceae.
GGAACCUACAAGGUCCGCGAGGGCAAGGUGGUGCAGGUCUAUCGCCGCAAGUGGGUCAUCCACAUCGAGCCACGCGCGAGAAGGUGAACGGGCUCCACCGUCAACGUCGGCAUUCACCUUCAAAGGUUGUCGUCACGAAGUUGCGAAUGGACAAGGACCGUAAAUCCUUGCUCGAUCGCAAGGCUAAGGGCCACGCCGCCGCCGCCGCUGACAAGGAAAAGGGUACAAAAUUUGCCCGAGGAUAUCAUGCAGACGGUUGAUUAGUUUCGAUUUUCAUAGUGAUAAUAUUUUCUCACCUAAUAAAUUUUUACACACAUUACAUUCAUUAUUUUUUUACACCCACCUUACCUUCACUAUUUUUUUCCCUUCAUCUUUUUUUUUUUUAAAUGACCCAUAUUAUCUAAAAUGAGUUGUAUUUUUUAUGAGACCAUCGUAUUUUGGCACCCAAUUAAAUUUUUUAAAUUUUGUAGAGUAUCUUCCGAACAUCAUAUAUUUUUUAUAAAUCAUAUUAAUAUUAUGAAUAUAUUAUUAAAUUUCAAUCAUGUUUUUAUUAUAAAUUUGUUAUUUAUUAUUUAAAAUAUAAUAUUAUCAAAUAUUAGUAGUAUUUUUUAUUUUAUUAAAAAUUGAAUUACUUCUUCUAUCAUAAGAUGAAAAAAUUAAAAAAGUAAAAAUUUAUAUUCAUAAUAUUUAUAUAUUAUUUUAAAAUUUGUUUCUAAAUUGAAACUAUAAAUAUUUUGAUAAUUGUAUUUUUUUUUUUCAAAAGUACCAUCAUAACCAUUUAUAAAAAAAAACAUGUAAGUCACACUAAGUCAAAUAAUUAAAUAUAUAAAUAAAUAUGCAUUCCAUACUUUAUAUCAACAAUAUUCAUCCUAUUCACUUCCUAUCCACAAACAUAAUACAUUUCAACAACAUAAUAUUCAUGUAUAACAACUCAUUCCAUAUCAACAAGAUAAUAUUCAUGAAUUUCAAAUAAUAUACUAAUACAAAAAGGUAAUAAUAUAUUUACACUGUAAUAUCAAAUAUAAUUUUAUUUGCUAAUAGAAAAUGGUUGAAUCACUCAUAGUAAUUCUCAAUCUCAUUUUUUUACACAUAUACACCGUUUAAUUCAAGUAAAACAAAGAUAAAUAAAACAUUUUAUAAAUAAGAGUGGUUGGUCAAAUAAAUGGUUCUCAGUUAAUUGUCUUGGACUAUUCUUAUCCAAUUGACGCUUAAGGUCCUCAUAUCAUUGUUUGAGCAGCAUCAUAGAGCUGCAGUAUCCAAAUUUUUAGAGGAGAGAUAAAUUUGUGAUGAAAAUUUAUUAAAUUUUGUAAGAAAAAUUUUUAAAUUUUUUUAAAAAAAUAUAAAAUGUAAGUUUAUAAAUUUAUUCUUAUAUUUAAAAAUAAAAAUUUAAUUUAAUUAUUAUUAUGGUUAUACAAUUUUUUUAUAUUUUUAUUAUUAAUUUUAUAUUAAUAAUAAUAUUGUUAAAUAUUUUUAAAAAAAUAAAAGUAUUAUUAAUAUUACUAUUUAAUAAAUUUAUUUAAUCAUUAUUUUUAUUUGUAUUAAUAUAUAAUGAUUUUGUUUAUAUUAACUAUUUACAUAAAAUUUGCUAUCAAUAAGGAUAUUUUAGUAUUUAUGUACAUAUUGUAGCUUUUAGUGCAUUUCUUCGGUCGCUUUUACUUCCACACAAAUCCAUAAAUUCAAAUUAGUGUUUCUACCACAUCUUUUCAUGUUCGUGAACAGUUUUUUCAACCUUUGUGGUGGUUUAUCUCUCCCAACUUGUACAAUGAAAAUUACUUAACGAUAGCCAAUCAUUUGAAUAAGAUGAAAUAAGUCUUUUAUUUCAAUUUUACAAAAAAUAAGCUUUUUUGCAAUCUAAAACAAAUUUUAUUGCACGUUCUAUACUUAAAUCAUACUUUUUUUUAUUCAAUUAUAUUUAAAAUCAAACAUGUUAAAUAACAAAAUGUUAAAUUACUAAUUCCAGGUAUCACACAUAUAAAAAAUAAUUGAAAACAUAAAAUAAUUGAACUUUAAAAUCUCCAGUUGUAUACAUUUGUAUACCAUAUCAAUCUCACCAACCGAUAAUCAAUGUCAAAUAUACUUCUCAAUUACACACACAAAAAAUCGAAUUCAAUAACAACAUUACUAUAAAUUUAAAUUGAGAUGUUUAUCUUAGGAUUUGGUUAAUUAAGGUUUCACUUUCACAAUGAUGAAUAUAGUGUAAAGAAGUAAAUCAAGUUAAAUUCUCUCAACAUAAUGUAUUUACUCUUUAAAAAAAUUAUUCAAACACCAAAAAAGGUUAGAGGUUGAUUGACUAAACCCUUACAUGCAAAAGCAACCUUAGGAGACCAAAUAUUGUAAGGAGAAAACUUACUAAAAACAAAAAUAUAGCCAAAUCAAACUAUCUCAUGGUGCAUAUUACCUUUUAAUUUUGUACAUUCGAUGAAAGAAAUGAACGCAUAUAUAAACCUAUAAAAAUGUCAAAAAUUUUAUAGUCUAAAAAUUAAAUAUUUUAAAUAAAAGAAAAUAAAUUGAUUUCAUAUUAUAUAUAAUCUUUAUAAAUUUUAAACAAUAUUAUUUUGUUCAUUUAAUUUAAAAUUUGUAUUGUCUAAUUAUAAAAUAGUCCUUCUUUCGAAUUUGAAUAAACUACUACAUUAAUUUGAUAAGUUAUAGCGACUUUAAUUUAUAUAAUCAAAUAAUUAUAUAUAAAAACAAUUAUUUCAUGCAUUUACAAUUAUUAAAAUGUUUUCGACAGAUUUUUCUUACUUCUCAUUUCUCUAAUAAAGAUGAUCUUCUUUCUUUUAUUAAGAGUCAUGGUAGUCUUUGGUUAAAUUGAUUAAACUUGCUGUGACAACCUUUUCUAUAUGGAUGAUAUGGCGUAUGAGGAAUUAUGUUAGAUUUCAGGAUAAAAUUGAGGUUUCUAAGGCUAUUUCGGUAAUUAAAGAUUUAACUUGUCUAGUGGGAAAUUCGUCUAAAGCUUCAAUGCAGAAUGAUAUGUUGGAUACGCUAUAAAAUACUGUUAAUACAUUUGUAAAAUUGAUAUAAUUAUGUAAGAAUAGAAUCACUUAUAUUGGUUAUUUUCUUUAAUGAGAAAACAUAAUAAUUUAAAUUUCUAUUUUUAUUAGUAUUUACAAUGAAAAUUUGUGUAUAUAUUUAAAUUGUAUACAUAUGAAAAUAUAUUUAUAAAAAAAUAAUUUUAAAAGACAUCUGUGAAUAUGUAAAUUGAGUAUAUAUAAAUAUCAAUCACUAUAUAUAUAUAUAUAUAUAAAAUAAUAUAAUAGAUAAAUACUUUAAAAUUAUUAAACUCAACAUUCAUGCUAGAUGUUUAACAAAUUUGUUAUACUUUAAUGUACCAAAAAAUAAAUAUUAUGUAAAAAAAAAACUUACGAUGAAACAAUAUUAUUUCAAAAAUUUAUUUAAUAGUCUUAUAUUUUCUUUUGUGGAAAGAUAUCCAUGAAAUAUUUUAACAUCAACAAUUUCUACACUUAUCUCUCAAUUAACUUUGUUUACUACAGAUUACCUUUAAUCCUCUUUUUACAAUUUCCUUCAAAAUAACCGUAUAAACCUUUCUAAUUAUAAACACGAUAAGAUAAAUUUUGUAUAACUAUUAAAGUAAAGGAGUAAAAAAAAAUAAAAAUAAACUUUAGAAAAAAAAAUUUAAUUACUAUAUUAAUUAAUACUAUUUUAAAGACUAAAAUAAUUAUUGGUAUCUAAAAUAUUUUUUAUUAAUAAAAUUUAUAAAUUAAUUUUAAAAGUUAAACAUUUUUAAAAUCAUUUAAUUACAUAUUCAAUAUAAUUUUUUAAAUAGUUAUCAUAACAAUAAAUAAACUUAUCAUCUUAUUUGUAACUUAUCAUCACAUGAUUUGUGCUAAAUAUUUUUUCAGUUACUCAUACCUUCUGUCUUAAUUAUAAAUUUCCAUUCAAAGGUUCAUAAAUAUUUUAAAAUAUUAAAAUAUGAAAAAUAAUUUUAUUUUAAUUUUCAAAGUAAAUUUGUUAGCAACAUUAAUUCUGAAACUAAAUAUUUUAAACAGCGGUCCAUAUCAUUUGUAUAUUUUCUCAAACUUUUUUUUUCCUUCUAUUAGAAAAAAGCGGGUAUGUCAACAGUUUCUUCCUGAACUCUAUAUCUUCUUCUUCCAUCUUCAUAAAUUCUCUUAUUUUAAAAAAAAAUAUUUCUUUGUAAUACUUUCAAUUACUUAAUCUAAAAGUUUUUUUUAAAUUCUUAAUUAGUUUCGGAUUAUAUAAGUUUUGCAUGAUUAGUUUCUAUAUUAUAUAUUACAUAAUUCGAAAAAAAAUUUAAACUUCUGGAUUAUGUAAUCCAGAAUUUUUUUUUUCAAAUACGUAUCUAGAUUAUAUAAUCCGAAAACUGAAACAAGAAGAAUAAAAAUGUAUUUUCAAGUUUUAUAUGGGGAUGGCAGAAGAAUAUGGAGGUGCAGGAAGAAGGAGUCCAACAACAUUGGUCAAGCAGGCCCAAUAAAAUUGGGUUGGUUGGAUCUCAUGGGCCUAAUCCAACCCAAGAAAAUGAAACUAAAUUUUAAUGAAUAAAAAGGGAAGAAGAAACCCUAAGUCUAUUUUUUUGUUAUACACUCUCUUUCUUUCAUUCGCAUUCCGUCACAAAAAGUAGGGAGAAGAGAAUGAAGUUCAAUCCCAGGGUUUCCUCUAGCCGGCGCAAGAGCCGCAAGGCGCAUUUCACGGCGCCGUCGAGCGUCCGCCGCGUGCUUAUGAGCGCGCCGCUCUCCACCGAUCUCCGGUCGAAAUACAAUGUGCGUUCCAUUCCGGUUCGGAAGGACGAUGAGGUGCAAGUGGUGAGGGGAACCUACAAGGGCCGCGAAGGCAAGGUGGUGCAGGUCUAUCGCCGCAAGUGGGUCAUCCACAUCGAGCGAAUCACGCGCGAGAAGGUGAACGGCUCUACCGUCAACGUCGGCAUUCACCCUUCAAAGGUUGUCGUCACGAAGUUGCGAAUGGACAAGGACCGUAAAUCCUUGCUCGAUCGCAAGGCUAAGGGCCGCGCCGCCGCUGACAAAGAAAAGGGUACAAAGUUUGCUCCCGAGGAUAUCAUGCAGACUGUUGAUUAGUUUC